GACGAACGCUGGCGGCGUGCCUAAUACAUGCAAGUAGAACGCUGAAGAGAGGAGCUUGCUCUUCUUGGAAGAGUUGCGAACGGGUGAGUAACGCGUAGGUAACCUGCCUUGUAGCGGGGGAUAACUAUUGGAAACGAUAGCUAAUACCGCAUAACAAUGGGUGACCCAUGUCAUUCAUUUGAAAGGGGCAACUGCUCCACUACAAGAUGGACCUGCGUUGUAUUAGCUAGUAGGUGAGGUAACGGCUCACCUAGGCGACGAUACAUAGCCGACCUGAGAGGGUGAUCGGCCACACUGGGACUGAGACACGGCCCAGACUCCUACGGGAGGCAGCAGUAGGGAAUCUUCGGCAAUGGGGGCAACCCUGACCGAGCAACGCCGCGUGAGUGAAGAAGGUUUUCGGAUCGUAAAGCUC
This 415-nucleotide ribosomal RNA is filed under the name Streptococcus vestibularis. RNAcentral describes it as "bacterial SSU rRNA". It matches the Rfam family "Bacterial small subunit ribosomal RNA", at positions 28 to 433 of the family's 1533-position model. Lineage: Bacteria; Bacillati; Bacillota; Bacilli; Lactobacillales; Streptococcaceae. The record is from RNAcentral.